UCCUGGUUUCCCAGGCAGUCCCGUCAGAGUGCUUCCGAAGAAUAGCAACUGACAGCAAGGGUUGCGCUCGUUAGAGGACUUAACCUAACACCUCACGGCACGAGCUGACGACAGCCAUGCAGCACCUGUGCUUUUGUCUAGAUCAAAGACCUAGAAGACCGUAUUUCUACAGCUGUCAAAAGCAUGUCAAACCUAGGUAAGGUUCCUCGCGUAGUGUCGAAUUAAACCACAUGUUCCACCGCUUGUGCGGACCCCCGUCAAUUCUUUUGAGUUUUAGUCUUGCGACCGUAGUCCCCAGGCGGAUCACUUAACGCGUUAGCUGCGACACUGAUUCUGCUAAGCAAAACCAACGUCUAGUGAUCAUCGUUUACAGCGUGGACUAC
RNAcentral lists this unclassified non-coding RNA (383 nucleotides) under uncultured bacterium. RNAcentral describes it as "contains 16S-23S intergenic spacer region". The record is from RNAcentral.